Microcebus murinus (gray mouse lemur) is the source of this 396-nucleotide non-coding RNA. Lineage: Eukaryota; Metazoa; Chordata; Mammalia; Primates; Cheirogaleidae. The record is from RefSeq and is a predicted model, not a curated record.
UUUCAACCAGUUUUCAGGCAACAUUUUCUUGCCAAGAAAGACCUCAUUAAAGCACUUGUGGAAAAUACAGAUAUGGACACAAGCCUCAUUCUGGAAUAUUGCAGCACAUUUCAGUUGAACUGUGACGCAGCCUCUCAGCUGUUCAUUGAAACACUGCUCCACAACACCAAUGCCAGCCAAAGCCAGAGCAUUGCAAGCCCGAAGUCUACAAAGCAGCAGCGGUCCAAGCUCCUGGCAAAGCCCUCGAGAUGGUUCCUUUACUGACAAGCACAAAAGAUUUGGUCAUCAGUCUCAGUGGAAUACUACAUAAGUUGGAUCCCUAUGACUACGAAAUGAUCGAAGUUGUCCUGAAAGUUAUAGAAAGAGCCGAUGAAAAGAUAACCAAUAUUAAUAUUA